UUAUAUUUUAUUUAUUAAUUAAUUUUUUUUUUAAAAUAAAUUAUUAAAAAUAAUUAUUUAAGGAUUUGUUUUAGUAUUUUAUAAAGAAAAAAUAAUUUUAAUUAUAGUUAAAUAGUAUUGUGAAAGAAAAUUGAAAUAAAUUGAAAAAUUAAUAUUUUAAAAGAAAAUUUAAUUUAUUGUACCUUGUGUAUCAGGGUUUAUUAAUUAAAAAUUAUUUAUUGUAAUUUUCUCGAUUUUAAAAGAGUUAAUAUAUUAUAAAAGUUAAUGUGACAAAAUUAUUUUGUAUAAUAUAUUAGAAAUGAAAUGUUAUUCGUUUUUAAAGGUAUCUAGUUCUUUAAGAAAUAAAUUUAAUUUAGAAAUAUUAUAUUAUUUAAUUAAAUGAAUUAAUUAGAUAAUUAUUUUAUUUUAAUAUUUUAUGGGAUAAGCUAUGAAAUAAAUUAUUAAAAAUUAUUAGAUAAGUUAAUAAAUAUAAGCUUAGAAAUAGUUAUUAUUAGUGAAAGUGUUAUAAUUUAUUUUAUAAUAUUUAUUAUUUAUUAAAUUUUAAUUAUGUAUUAAAGUAUUUAUUUUAAUUUUAAAAAUAAAAAAAUAAUGAUAAAAUUAGUAUAUUGUAUUGUAUAAAUAUAAUUAUUUGAUAAGUUUUUAUAAAGAACUCGGCAAAAAUAAUGUUCGCCUGUUUAACAAAAACAUGUCUUUUUGAAUUUUUUUAAAAGUCUAGCCUGCCCACUGAAUAAUUUAAAUGGCCGCAGUAUACUAACUGUGCAAAGGUAGCAUAAUCAUUAGUCUUUUAAUUGAAGGCUGGUAUGAAUGGUUGGACGAGAUAUUAACUGUUUCAUAAAAAUUUAUAAUAGAAUUUUAUUUUUUAGUCAAAAAGCUAAAAUAUAAUUAAAAGACGAGAAGACCCUAUAAAUCUUUAUAUAUAUAGAUUAUUGGAAUUUUGUAGAUUUUUUUUAUUACAAUAAUUGAUUAUAUUUUAUUGGGGUGAUAUUAAAAUUUAAUAAACUUUUAAUUUUAAAAAUCAUUAAUUUAUGAAUGGUUGAUCCGUUAAUAACGAUUAAAAAAAUAAGUUACUUUAGGGAUAACAGCGUAAUUUUUUUGGAGAGUUCAUAUCGAUAAAAAAGAUUGCGACCUCGAUGUUGGAUUAAGAUAUAAUUUUAGGUGUAGCCGCUUAAAUUUUAAGUCUGUUCGACUUUUAAAUUCUUACAUGAUCUGAGUUCAAACCGGCGUAAGCCAGGUUGGUUUCUAUCUUUAAAAUAUUAAAAUAUUUCAGUACGAAAGGACCUAAUAUUUAAUAAAUAAUUAUUUUUAUAUUGAAUAUAAUUAAUUUAU
RNAcentral lists this ribosomal RNA (1326 nucleotides) under Sarcophaga scopariiformis. RNAcentral describes it as "16S ribosomal RNA". The stretch from base 1075 to 1234 matches the Rfam family "Archaeal large subunit ribosomal RNA", at positions 2544 to 2703 of the family's 2987-position model. Lineage: Eukaryota; Metazoa; Arthropoda; Insecta; Diptera; Sarcophagidae. The record is from RNAcentral.